CAAACCCCAGCAUAUACCAUGCAGUAUUGAUAACCUUGGCAGACAGACAAAAGCCCCAUCACAAAAAAAAGAGAACUUCUAAAAGCAUAGAAAAAUGUUAACAGUUGGCCAGCUGUUAGGGAAAAAAAACCUUAUCCAAGUUCUAAACACUAAGCUGCAAGGAAGCAAGGCUCUUAAUGUGUCUGCAGCAGGGAAGCUGAGCACAAACAUAAAAUCGGUGCCAGUGGAAUAUUCCCUAAGGGCAAAGCCCUGUUUUAUCAUCUAAUCGCUAAUCUGAAGCUGUGUGAGUACAAAUGUGGCAACUGGAUAUACCUGUUUUUGUCAGCCUCUCUCCAGCCAGACUAAGUCAAGCCUUAGACUAAUUCAGUUACUCCGAGAUAAAUUCUGGCAGUAGCGAGUUUCCUCUGCACUGUAUCUGCUUCUUUCCUGGAGUGACGGGGCUGAGUGGGACAUUGUAUAAUUCCUCCUCUUUGGAACCUGAUACUCAUCAGAAAGACCACAGAGAAGACUGAAAGGAGGUCAUUCCUCUCAUCUCCUCAGCCUGCUGGUGCAGAUUUCCAACGUGCCCACAUUAUGGGAGUUUCUGUUUGUAUCCCACAGUAUGUUUGGCCUGAAGACCAUUGUGGAAAUAUGAGAUGACUUUUUAGACCUUUCUUCUAGCCUGAAGAAAGACGUUCUACUUAGGAUUAUCUUGCAAUCCAAUAAAUAAUAGCAGCUGGUCAGAAACCUGGUCUGUGAACACUGUUGGGAACACUGUUGUGUUUGUUUAAUUAUUUGUAAUAAUUUUAUUUUUGCAGGGAUAUGCUAAGUCUUUUCAAGUGCAAAAGGGAAAGAUGAAAAAAAGAAAAAAAAAAAAGAAAGUUUUGAUUUGAAAGGCCAAGUACAGAUCUUUGUGCUGACUUUCAUAUACUCUAGGACCUGCCCUUCUCUUUUUAUGCAUGAUCACAUACGCUCCAAACAUCUAAGAAGCUUCUGUUGGUGUUGGGGGUUAAAAUUCCUAGGAUUAGAAGCAGAGGUUUUGGAGUCAAGGGCCCCCACCUCUGGAAUUAGUUUUCCUUGGUUUCCUGCCAGUGUCCAUCCAGUAAGCUUCAGAACACAUGGGGAAAUGUUUAUAUUUGGGUUAGCUUCUCUCUAUUUUUAGAUGGUUUGGUUUUGCUUUGAAUUUUACUCUACAGAUGUGAAGAUGGUAGAUUGGCUAUUGUUAUUUUCUAAGAGAAUGAUUUAGCACUACCCAUUACGAGAAGGCUCCCGUGUCCUUUAUCAGUAAUCUUGUAAGAACAUGCUGCAGCCUGUGAAUGAAUAUUUGCAUUCUUACUUCCACAUCAUCAUUUUCCAACAUGUGCUACCGGGAUUACGUUGAGCCGAGCUGGAAAAGCUCCCAAGCCCAGAAUGUUGUACCCUGUGCGUGUUGUUGGCCCUGUUGUUUGGAGGGAACAGGACUGCAUGGACUGACAGGGGUUGGGUGAUUUGCUACCUACAUGUGCUCCUGCUUCGCACUGCAAGCAUCAUCUUUGUCAUACAGCAGGAUGUUUAAAUCUUUGUACCCCAAAAUGUGGACGAUCUUUAAAUGAUUAUAAAUAAAUGAUUGUAAGUAGUAUUUGGUUAUAAA
Molecule: long non-coding RNA, 1609 nt
Organism: Gallus gallus (chicken)
Lineage: Eukaryota; Metazoa; Chordata; Aves; Galliformes; Phasianidae
Source: Ensembl